AGCAGUGUGUUGUAGUGGUAAGCAGCAGGGCUCGUAACCGAAAGGUCGCUGGUUUGAUUCCGUGCCGGUGCAC
This is a non-coding RNA of Megalops atlanticus (tarpon), 73 nucleotides long. Lineage: Eukaryota; Metazoa; Chordata; Actinopteri; Elopiformes; Megalopidae. The record is from the annotation of a GenBank genome assembly.